This 1975-nucleotide ribosomal RNA is filed under the name human metagenome. Its description in RNAcentral is "bacterial LSU rRNA". It matches the Rfam family "Bacterial large subunit ribosomal RNA", at positions 1096 to 2925 of the family's 2925-position model. The record is from RNAcentral.
GGAGGUUGGCUUAGAAGCAGCCAUCCUUGAAAGAGUGCGUAAUAGCUCACUGGUCGAGUGGUUCUGCGCCGAUAAUGUAGCGGGGCUUAAGUACACCGCCGAAACCGCGGCAACACAUGUAAAGUGUGUUGGGUAGGGGAGCGUCGUGCAUGUGUUGAAGCUAUUUGGUGACAGGUGGUGGAGUGUGUGCGAGUGAGAAUGCAGGCAUGAGUAACGAUUGAUGUGUGAGAAACAUAUCCGCCGGAUGACUAAGGGUUCCUGGGUGAAGUUUGUCUUCCCAGGGUGAGUCGGGGCCUAAGGCGAGGCCGACAGGCGUAGUCGAUGGAUGACGGGUUGAUAUUCCCGUACCGGCGAAGCACCGCCCAUGCUGACGCGCGGGUGCUAACCCACGCCCAGCCGCCAUAUAAGCCGCGCCUACUCCUUUCGGGGGGUGGUGUGGUUGUGGUGGUGGGGUCUGGGGAUCCUCCGUGCAGGUAGGCAAGCGUGUUAACAGGGGUGACGCACAGUGGUAGCCCGGCGGACCUGAUGGCUUGGUCCGUUCAAGCGCGCAGCCCGUCCUCCAGGUAAAUCCGGGGGACUGUCUUUGAUGACGGGGGUGAGGCGUGAUGGUGACCUCACACUGGUGGGGGAUAACAGGGUGAUCCUGGGGUGCCGAGAAAAGCCUCGACGCGAUGGUGCCAGCCGCCCGUACCCUAAACCGACACAGGUGGUCGGGCAGAGUAUGCCUAGGCGCACGAGUGAAUCAUGGUUAAGGAACUCGGCAAAAUGCCCCCGUAACUUCGGGAGAAGGGGGGCCCGAUCCCUGAAACAGCUGGCCUGUUAGGGGGGAGGGUCGCAGAGGCCAGGGGGAAGCGACUGUUUACUAAAAACACAGGUCCGUGCGAAGCCGUAAGGCGAUGUAUACGGACUGACGCCUGCCCGGUGCUGGAAGGUUAAGAGGAACCAUCAACCCCUCUUGGGGGUGAAGUGGUGAAUUUAAGCCCCAGUAAACGGCGGUGGUAACUAUAACCAUCCUAAGGUAGCGAAAUUCCUUGUCGGGUAAGUUCCGACCUGCACGAAUGGCGUAACGACUUCCCCGCUGUCUCAACCAUGAGCUCGGCGAAAUUGCAGUACGAGUAAAGAUGCUCGUUUCGCGCAGAAGGACGGAAAGACCCCGGGACCUUUACUACAGCUUGGUAUUGGCGCCCGCUAUAGCUUGUGCAGGAUAGGUGGGAGACUGUGAAGCCGUUACGCCAGUGGCGGUGGAGUCGUCCUUGAAAUACCACUCUGGUUAUGGCGUGCGCCUGAACCUGGGCCCGUGAUCCGGGUUAGGGACAGUGCCUGGUGGGUAGUUUAACUGGGGCGGUUGCCUCCUAAAGUGUAACGGAGGCGCUCAAAGGUUCCCUCAGCCUGGUCGGCAACCAGGUGUUGAGUGCAAGUGCACAAGGGAGCUUGACUGUGAGACCGACGGGUCGAGCAGGUACGAAAGUAGGAACUAGUGAUCCGGCGAUCCCGUGUGGGUGGGUCGUCGCUCAACGGAUAAAAGGUACCCCGGGGAUAACAGGCUGAUCCUGCCCAAGAGUCCAUAUCGACGGCAUGGUUUGGCACCUCGAUGUCGGCUCGUCGCAUCCUGGGGCUGGAGUAGGUCCCAAGGGUUGGGCUGUUCGCCCAUUAAAGCGGCACGCGAGCUGGGUUUAGAACGUCGUGAGACAGUUCGGUCUCUAUCCGCCGCGCGCGUUGAAACUUGAAGAAGGCUGUCCCUAGUACGAGAGGACCGGGAUGGACGUACCUCUGGUAUGCCAGUUGUCACGCCAGUGGCAUGGCUGGUUAGCUACGUGCGGGAGGGAUAACCGCUGAAAGCAUCUAAGCGGGAAGCCUGUUUUGAGAUGAGGUUUCUGUUGAGGUUCCCUGUAGAUGAUGGGGUUGAUAGGCCAGGGCUGUGAGCAUGGUGACGUGUUGGAGGUGACUGGUACUAAUACACCGACACAAAAAACCA